CCCGGAGUGGGGGAGGCUGGCGAGUAUCUGCGCGCGGCUAGCGGGGCGGCCAUGCUGCGGACGCGCGGGGUCCCCGUGGGCUCCUCGCUACUCCGGGCCGCGCUGGGCCUGGGGCCGGGGCCGCGGCCGGGGCGGGCGGCGUCGCGGGAGCGCGGGCAGGGCUGGCUGCAGCCUGCGGGCUACGACACGGGCGUCACGGUGUACAACAGCCUCACCAGGAGGAAAGACCCCUUGAUCGUGAGCGGCGCGGACACCGCCUCCUGGUAUAGCUGUGGACCAACUGUCUACGAUCAUGCACACCUGGGUCAUGCUUGCUCAUAUGUUAGAUUUGAUAUAAUUCGAAGGAUCCUGACCCGGGUUUUUGGGUGCAACAUCAUCAUGGUGAUGGGAAUUACAGACGUGGAUGAUAAAAUAAUCAAAAGAGCCAAUGAGAUGAACGUGUCUCCCGCUUCCCUGGCCAGUCUUUAUGAAGAAGACUUUAAACAAGACAUGGCAGCCUUGAAGGUUCUCCCACCCACCGUGUACCUGAGGGUAACUGAAAACAUUCCUCAGAUAAUUGCUUUUAUCGAGAGAAUAAUUGCUAACGGGCACGCUUACUCCACCCCGAAAGGCAAUGUCUACUUCGACCUGCAGUCAAGAGGAGACAGAUACGGCAAGCUGGUCGGCGUGGCCCCUGCCCCCGUGGGAGAGACAGAUCACUCUGACAAGCGGCAUGCCAGCGACUUUGCCCUGUGGAAGGCGGCGAAGCCCCGGGAGCCGUCCUGGGCCUCGCCCUGGGGAGACGGGAGGCCUGGCUGGCAUAUCGAGUGUUCCACCAUCGCCAGUUUGGUGUUUGGAAGCCGGCUGGACAUCCACUCGGGUGGCGUAGAUUUAGCGUUUCCUCACCACGAGAACGAAAUCGCACAGUGCGAGGUCUUUCACCAGUGCCAGCAGUGGGGGAAUUAUUUCCUACAUUCUGGGCAUUUGCACGUGAAGGGCAAAGAAGAGAAGAUGUCCAAAUCACUGAAGAACUACAUCACAAUUAAGGACUUCCUCAGCACGGCCUCCCCAGACGUCUUCCGCCUCUUCUGCCUGCGGAGCAGCUACAGGUCAGCCAUGGACUACAGCGACGGCGCCAUGCUCGAGGCCAGGCGUCUGCUCCGUGCCGUGGCCGCCUUUGUGGAGGACGCUCGGGCCUACAUGAGGGGGCAGCUGGCGGGCGGCCCCGUCCAGGAGGACGUGCUGUGGGAGAGGCUGGGCCACACCAAGGGGGCCGUGCAGGCGGCGCUGGCGGACGACUUCAACACGCCGGGGGCGGUGGACGCCGUCAUGGACCUGGCUCACCACGGGAACAGACAGCUGAAGGCGGCUGCUGAGGCGGCCGGUGGUCCCAGGAGCCCUGCUGUGUUCGGUGCUGUCGUGUCCUACGUGGAGCAGUUCUUUGAGACGGUGGGGAUUUCUCUGGCUGAGCGACAGGCUGUCCUCUGCACAGAAGCGUCCUUGCCUGAUGCCCCACGCCAGGGUCCCUCCUCCUCCAGGGGGCCCGCCUCGUUAUACCUCACCUAACGAACAGCCUUAGGACUGUUGUUCAGGACCGAAAAGGAAAGGGCCAUAGCUGCCACUUUCUAAAAAAGUGUGAACAGGCUGUUAACAGGGGAGCCUGGACUGCACACGGGGGGACGCCACCCCGGAUCUCCCUGCGGGCCCUGCCGGGUCACCUGCUGCCGUGAGGCCUGGGCACAGCCCACACUGCCGGGCCGGGGACCUGCCAGCUGAGGCCUGGCGCCGGCUGCCCUGGCCGUGAGCGGGGAUGUCUCCUAGGACUGUUUGUUAGGCUGUGAGCUUCUCUGGCGUCAACAGAAAGACUCGCGUAUCUUUGCAAUGAUUUGUUUGAUCGAGAGACACUGAUUCCCUAGUGGACUGUGGCCUUCCCUGGGCGGUCCAGGGCCUGUUGGCGGCUCACACUAGGCUGAGGGGGCCAGGUCUAUGCUGGGUCACCAGAAGCCCACCUCCUCCCCGAGCUGGGGCGCCCCCGGAGCCCGCUGGGGGGCUCACGUCUCUGUAACGAGCUGUCUUCUACUGUGGGAGCAGUGGCUGGGGAUCACGUGAGGUUGAAAGAGUUGGACCGCUGGCCCCUCCUCCGUGGGGCGGGGGGUGGGGGUGGGGUCGGACACCUGGCAACUUGGAAGGGCUCCGGGCCCACACCAGCCCUGGAGCUGCCCCGGCCGGCACCCACACUGAUGGUCCCCGGCCCCAGGGGAGAGCGCCGCGGGGCUGCACGUGUGCACGCGCCCACCCGUGCGCAGAACGUCCAGGGCCUUGAACGGUGGCUGGAGCAAGUUUGGUUUCCUUGGUCGAUGAGGCCCAGGCCUGCCAGCUCUGCCCAAUGACCCUCCGAUGCUGCCCGUCUGCAGUGGCAGCUCCCGCUCACCAGCCUGGGCGACCGGGAGACCAGGCCCUUCGGGCGAGUGUGUUUCAGGGGCCGGCGGCCCGGCCGCCCUGCACAGCGUGGUCGAGGAGCUGGUCCGCUUCCGGCAGAAGGUCCGGCAGUUCGCUCUGGCCGCGAGGGAGGCCCCCGGGG
This is a non-coding RNA of Delphinapterus leucas (beluga whale), 2560 nucleotides long. The record is from RefSeq and is a predicted model, not a curated record. NCBI's taxonomy places the organism in Eukaryota, Metazoa, Chordata, Mammalia, Artiodactyla, Monodontidae.